AAUCAACGCUGGCGGCGUGCCUAACACAUGCAAGUCGAACGCGAAAGCCCCGCAAGGGGUAAGUAGAGUGGCAAACGGGUGAGUAACACGUGGGUGACCUGCCUUCGAGUGGGGGAUAACGUCCCGAAAGGGACGCUAAUACCGCAUGACAUCCUGCUUUUGAAAAAGCGGAGAUCAAAGCUGGGGAUCGCAAGACCUAGCGCUUGAAGAGGGGCCCGCGCCUGAUUAGCUAGUUGGUGAGGUAACGGCUCACCAAGGCGACGAUCAGUAUCCGGUCUGAGAGGGCGGACGGACACACUGGGACUGAGACACGGCCCAGACUCCUACGGGAGGCAGCAGUGGGGAAUUGUUCGCAAUGGGCGCAAGCCUGACGACGCAACGCCGCGUGGAGGACGAAGAUCUUCGGGUCGUAAACUCCUGUCGAGCGGGACGAACGCUUCGCGGAUGAAUAAUCCGCGGAAUUGACGGUACCGCUAAAGGAAGCCCCGGCUAACUCCGUG
Molecule: ribosomal RNA, 500 nt
Filed under: uncultured bacterium
Lineage: Bacteria
Description: partial 16S ribosomal RNA
Rfam family: Bacterial small subunit ribosomal RNA
Source: RNAcentral